UCUUCAUUCAAAUUUUCAUAUUCGGCCUUUACGAAAAUCAAAUAUGAAAGAAUUAAGAAAAAAUAAAUAUAUUAUGAAUAAUUAAUAAAUGAUCACUCACCAUCAUAGUUUUUCCUCUAUCGUUUAACGACGUAUGAGUUGACAAGAAUGCCUCUUGAAAUGACGGUUUUCGACCUAAUUUGAGACUCUAUACGAAAAAAUCUAGUUAAAAUAAUUCAUAAAAUAUUUAAAUUGAAAUGAAUUUAAAAUAUAAACUUACUAAUGCAUGAGAGUUGGCUUCAAAAGAAGCCGAUCCACCCUUAUACACCAAAUAAUCGUCGUUUCUAGUUCGAUUUGCUGAAUUCUUUUUUGAUUUUUCUACGAACUCUGGUGCCAAAAACUUGUCCGUCAUUAGUCCCCAUUUUUCUUU
This 409-nucleotide long non-coding RNA is filed under the name Zostera marina. RNAcentral's name for it is "long non-coding RNA (ZMAR_LNC000701)". Lineage: Eukaryota; Viridiplantae; Streptophyta; Magnoliopsida; Alismatales; Zosteraceae. The record is from RNAcentral.